Scleroderma citrinum Foug A is the source of this 73-nucleotide transfer RNA. It matches the Rfam family "tRNA". Rfam says of the family: Transfer RNA (tRNA) molecules are approximately 80 nucleotides in length. Their secondary structure includes four short double-helical elements and three loops (D, anti-codon, and T loops). Further hydrogen bonds mediate the characteristic L-shaped molecular structure. tRNAs have two regions of fundamental functional importance: the anti-codon, which is responsible for specific mRNA codon recognition, and the 3' end, to which the tRNAs corresponding amino acid is attached (by aminoacyl-tRNA synthetases). tRNAs cope with the degeneracy of the genetic code in two manners: having more than one tRNA (with a specific anti-codon) for a particular amino acid; and 'wobble' base-pairing, i.e. permitting non-standard base-pairing at the 3rd anti-codon position. Lineage: Eukaryota; Fungi; Basidiomycota; Agaricomycetes; Boletales; Sclerodermataceae. The record is from Rfam.
GGCCCAGUAGCUCAGUGGUUAGAGCACCUGGGUAUAUGCCAGGAGGUCCUGGGUUCAAAUCCUGGCUUGGUCA